RNAcentral lists this ribosomal RNA (252 nucleotides) under uncultured bacterium. RNAcentral's name for it is "partial 16S ribosomal RNA". It matches the Rfam family "Bacterial small subunit ribosomal RNA", at positions 100 to 354 of the family's 1533-position model. The record is from RNAcentral.
CGGGGUGAGUAACGCGUGGAUAACCUGCCUUACACUGGGGGAUAACACUUAGAAAUAGGUGCUAAUACCGCAUAAGCGCACAGAGCCGCAUGGCUCAGUGUGAAAAACUCCGGUGGUGUAAGAUGGAUCCGCGUCUGAUUAGCUGGUUGGCGGGGUAGAAGCCCACCAAGGCGACGACCAGUAGCCGGCCUGAGAGGGUGAACGGCCACAUUGGGACUGAGACACGGCCCAAACUCCUACGGGAGGCAGCAG